CCUUCCGCCUUAAACGUAGCAGCUGGAACUUUGUUUAAAAAACAAGGAUAAUUAGCCUCAGGUAGCCAGAUACUGACUGAAAAACCUUGUAAACAACCCGUAAAGGCGGUAAGCGCAAAUGCACAAGUUAUCUAUGGCAUACAUAUUAUAAGUGCCGACAAAGCUGACGGCGUUAAGAACGCAAGAACAUAACUUAAACAAGCUGAUCAAAAUGUGAAAACAGACGGAUGGACUCCGCACGGCCUCGACAGCCAAGUCAACGCAACGAGAUGAUAUCCUUUACCUUUAAUUGGAGACGGCGAAUGGGCCUGAAGGCCAAUUUCAGUGUAAAACCAUGUGACCGCGUCGUCUUUUGGUUCUUCGGCCAGAAGAACACGUUCUACGUGUGACACCUUUCACUGCUUUCUUCGGCAAAACAAAUCCUUCGAUCUGUGUUGUAUGCGUUUCUCGUACAAUAGAUGACACAAACAUCUUGAUGACGACUGCAACAGCGACGCCAAGGGAAUAAUCCAUCCUUGAUUAUAGGGACUUGGCGAUGCUUCGUGUACAGAAUCAAGCAUCUCCGGUCAAAGAAGUCUCCGUACCGCGAACUAGUUCAUGGAAACUAGCGCAUGAAGCUCCGUGAUGCGUUUUAGGCAUAAAAUGAAAAAGAUCAGAGGUGAAACUUGGAGGACACUUA
Molecule: long non-coding RNA, 679 nt
Organism: Varroa destructor (honeybee mite)
Lineage: Eukaryota; Metazoa; Arthropoda; Arachnida; Mesostigmata; Varroidae
Source: RefSeq, a predicted model, not a curated record